RNAcentral lists this long non-coding RNA (524 nucleotides) under Nicotiana tabacum (common tobacco). Its description in RNAcentral is "long non-coding RNA (NTAB_LNC017368)". Lineage: Eukaryota; Viridiplantae; Streptophyta; Magnoliopsida; Solanales; Solanaceae. The record is from RNAcentral.
UACACUUCAACAACAACAUCCAAAAAACUCCCAACAUCAAAAUAUAGCAACAUCACUAAUACCGAUCCCAAAACACACACACACACACACAUACACACAAAACGAAGAAGAAUUGUAGAUCGUAAUUGAAGAACUUACAGGGAGGUGAAAAGUCGAAAUCGAAGCAGCACAUUUACGUGCUUAACACGUGAAACAAAAGGACUUCGUUUCGAAUCGAUAAAUGCGAUAACUUGAAUUAAAAUGCACCGCUUCAAAUUUGUCCUAAUACACAAUGCAUGUAAAAAUUGCAUAAAUCCAUCGGGAAAAAAUUAAAAUUGUUAGAAUAGUCAAAAUUUGCAGAAUUUUACACACACGCACACGGAGUAGAUAUUUAUGAAUAGGAAAAUGCCGUACCUGAUAAAGAUUAAGAAAGUGAAUCUGGCGAUCUGAAUAAUUGAAUUGUAUAGGGAUAGAUCUGAGAGCGAUAAGAGCAAAAAAAGAAACCCUAAAUUUGUUUGUUGGAUUCAAUUCAAUGGGGAGAAUUC